GCGUCGGUGGUUCAGUGGUAGAAUACUCGCCUGCCAUGCGGGUGACCCGGGUUCAAUUCCCGACCGACGCA
This 71-nucleotide transfer RNA is filed under the name Rhipicephalus microplus (southern cattle tick). Its description in RNAcentral is "tRNA-Gly". It matches the Rfam family "tRNA". From Rfam's summary of the family: Transfer RNA (tRNA) molecules are approximately 80 nucleotides in length. Their secondary structure includes four short double-helical elements and three loops (D, anti-codon, and T loops). Further hydrogen bonds mediate the characteristic L-shaped molecular structure. tRNAs have two regions of fundamental functional importance: the anti-codon, which is responsible for specific mRNA codon recognition, and the 3' end, to which the tRNAs corresponding amino acid is attached (by aminoacyl-tRNA synthetases). tRNAs cope with the degeneracy of the genetic code in two manners: having more than one tRNA (with a specific anti-codon) for a particular amino acid; and 'wobble' base-pairing, i.e. permitting non-standard base-pairing at the 3rd anti-codon position. Lineage: Eukaryota; Metazoa; Arthropoda; Arachnida; Ixodida; Ixodidae. The record is from Rfam by way of RNAcentral.